RNAcentral lists this ribosomal RNA (451 nucleotides) under uncultured bacterium. RNAcentral's name for it is "partial 16S ribosomal RNA". It matches the Rfam family "Bacterial small subunit ribosomal RNA", at positions 29 to 523 of the family's 1533-position model. The record is from RNAcentral.
AGCGAACGCUGGCGGCAGGCUUAACACAUGCAAGUCGAGCGGGCAUAGCAAUAUGUCAGCGGCAGACGGGUGAGUAACGCGUGGGAACGUACCUUUUGGUUCGGAACAACACAGGGAAACUUGUGCUAAUACCGGAUAAGCCCUUACGGGGAAAGAUUUAUCGCCGAAAGAUCGGCCCGCGUCUGAUUAGCUAGUUGGUGAGGUAAUGGCUCACCAAGGCGACGACCAGUAGCUGGUCUGAGAGGAUGAUCAGCCACAUUGGGACUGAGACACGGCCCAAACUCCUACGGGAGGCAGCAGUGGGGAAUAUUGGACAAUGGGCGCAAGCCUGAUCCAGCCAUGCCGCGUGAGUGAUGAAGGCCCUAGGGUUGUAAAGCUCUUUUGUGCGGGAAGAUAAUGACGGUACCGCAAGAAUAAGCCCCGGCUAACUUCGUGCCAGCCGCCGCGGUAA